CCGUUAGGCCUUAGUAGCGCAGCUAACGCGUGAAGUUGACCGCCUGGGGAGUACGGUCGCAAGAUUAAAACUCAAAGGAAUUGACGGGGACCCGCACAAGCGGUGGAUGAUGUGGAUUAAUUCGAUGCAACGCGAAAAACCUUACCUACCCUUGACAUGUCUGGAAAGCCGAAGAGAUUUGGCCGUGCUCGCAAGAGAACCGGAACACAGGUGCUGCAUGGCUGUCGUCAGCUCGUGUCGUGAGAUGUUGGGUUAAGUCCCGCAACAAGCGCAACCCUUGUCAUUAGUUGCUACGCAAGAGCACUCUAAUGAGACUGCCGGUGACAAACCGGAGGAAGGUGGGGAUGACGUCAAGUCCUCAUGGCCCUUAUGGGUAGGGCUUCACACGUCAUACAAUGGUCGGGACAGAGGGUCGCCAACCCGCGAGGGGGAGCCAAUCUCAGAAACCCGAUCGUAGUCCGGAUCGCAGUCUGCAACUCGACUGCGUGAAGUCGGAAUCGCUAGUAAUCGCGGAUCAGAAUGUCGCGGUGAAUACGUUCCCGGGUCUUGUACACACCGCCCGUCACACCAUGGGAGUGGGUUUCACCAGAAGUAGGUAGCCUAACCGCAAGGAGGGCGCUUACCACGGUGGGAUUCAUGACUGGGGUGAAGUCGUAACAAGG
RNAcentral lists this ribosomal RNA (662 nucleotides) under uncultured bacterium. RNAcentral describes it as "bacterial SSU rRNA". It matches the Rfam family "Bacterial small subunit ribosomal RNA", at positions 830 to 1496 of the family's 1533-position model. The record is from RNAcentral.